UUUGUGGAUAGAAAUUGGAGGGGAAUGGUGAUGCUCGAUUGUAUCAAUGAUAUGCAUAAGAGAAACCAAGGCUGCAUAUGCCGCCAUGAUCCAAGGAAAAACAGUGUAUAUUUUUCUGAGAAAGAAUUUGAUAGAAUCUGAGUUUAGGUUGAGCAAAAACAAUGUGUAAAAUGGGUAUAUCUCCUCUUCUCAAUUAUUAUCAGAAACAUUAUGUGUGCAGCUUUUCAUCCACCUUUCAGAAUCACAUUACUGCCAAACAGCUAAGAUAAGAGAAGACAUGUCGGUUGACCCUACAGUUUACUAGUCUCCUAUAUCACAUUCUGCUAAUUAUGCUAAUUAUGAAAUAAUGACUAUGCUAAUUAUGAAAUAAUGGAGCAAAAGAGUAGAAAGCUACAAUUGAAUUUUUUUUUAGGUAGGUGAUCAUUUAGUGUAGCAUGCAUUAUGCUAUGCUUAAAUGUGCAUACUAAUAAGAGUCAAAAUAAAACCUUUUGGAAUAUGAUUUGUCUUCUCGCAGUGCACUACUUAAAAAAAAAAGGCGGGCAAUGUCCAAUCCUCAUACAGCUAAGAAACAUUAAAUUUAUACUAUAUUAAAAAGGGAGUUUCCAAUUUGAAAUUGAUUUCAAAUUGAUUUAGGUGGCAAUUUUGUGAAUACUAAAAAAAUUAAAGUCAGAAGUUCAAACUCAAAUUUAUUGUGAAAUUCUACUAAUUAUAAAAUAUUUGAUAUUGAUAUCAAAUUAAAGAUCAUGACAAGAGCUUUAAUUUGAUAUAUUUUAUGUAAAUAUAUGAUUUGAAAUGUACAAAUUAAAUUUGUUUAAAUAUUAGAAUUUUAUAAAUUUCUCUCUCCUCUCUCAUCUUUUUGAAAAAAAAUGUAUUUUAAAUUCUUUUCUAAUAGUAUUUUUUUUUUGGCUUUUCAUAAUAUCAAAUUUUAUAAUUGUAAAUUCUUUUUUAUUUUUUAAUAUUCAAUUCUAAUAUAUUUAGUUAAAAAUAAAAUUUAUUAUAUUUAUGAGUAUGAUAAUUAAAUUAAUAUUAUUUUUAUAUAAAUAUAAAAAAUAAAAAAUAUUUUCCCGUGCAGUGCACGGGAUGCAAAUGCUAGUUACAUGUAAAAGAGUGUGGUGCUCGAUCUGAUUGAUGGUAUUCAUAAGAGAAACCUUUUACACAUAUAUACAUAACAAUGUAAGGUAUGCAAAUGCUAGUUACAUGCAUAUGCCGCCAUGAUCCAAGGAAAAAGAGUGUAUAUUUUUCUGAGAAAUAAUUUGAUGGAAUCUGAGUUUAGGUUCAGCAAAAACAAUGUGUAAAAUGGCUAUAUCUCCUCAAUUAUUAUCACAAACAAUGUGUCCUUGGCGUCAUUUAACUAUGCGCUGAUUCAAGUCUUUAAAAAUAAGAAUAUAUGAGUAGAGUAGGUGAGUGAUGUUGAUUUCCAUGUUCUAAUUCAUGCAUCCAAGAAUAAACUAUGAUUAAUGAUGCAAUUGGUUGGUAUUCACCUUUGAAAUUUCCGAAUAGGUU
Molecule: long non-coding RNA, 1503 nt
Filed under: Salvia miltiorrhiza (redroot sage)
Lineage: Eukaryota; Viridiplantae; Streptophyta; Magnoliopsida; Lamiales; Lamiaceae
Description: long non-coding RNA (SMIL_LNC007496)
Source: RNAcentral